RNAcentral lists this ribosomal RNA (481 nucleotides) under uncultured bacterium. Its description in RNAcentral is "partial 16S ribosomal RNA". It matches the Rfam family "Bacterial small subunit ribosomal RNA", at positions 28 to 507 of the family's 1533-position model. The record is from RNAcentral.
GAUGAACGCUGGCGGCGUGCUUAACACAUGCAAGUCGAACGAAGCACUUUAUUUGAUUUCCUUCGGGACUGAUUAUUUUGUGACUGAGUGGCGGACGGGUGAGUAACGCGUGGGUAACCUGCCUUUUACAGGGGGAUAACAGUUGGAAACGGCUGCUAAUACCGCAUAAGCGCACAGCAUCGCAUGAUGCAGUGUGAAAAACUCCGGUGGUAUAAGAUGGACCCGCGUUGGAUUAGCUAGUUGGUGAGGUAACGGCCCACCAAGGCGACGAUCCAUAGCCGACAUGAGAGGGUGACCGGACACAUUGGGACUGAGACACGGCCCAAACUACGACGGGAGGCAGCAGUGGGGAAUAUUGCACAAUGGGCGAAAGCCUGAUGCAGCGACGCCGCGUGAGCGAAGAAGUAUUUCGGUAUGUAAAGCUCUAUCAGCAGGGAAGAUAAUGACGGUACCUGACUAAGAAGCACCGGCUAAAUACGUG